UGGCAGGUCGACGCUGAAGCCUGGUGCUUGCACCGGGUGGAUGAGUGGCGAACGGGUGAGUAACACGUGAGUAACCUGCCCCUGACUUCGGGAUAAGCCCGGGAAACUGGGUCUAAUACCGGAUACGACUGCCGGACGCAUGUCUGGUGGUGGAAAGUUUUUUCGGUUGGGGAUGGGCUCGCGGCCUAUCAGUUUGUUGGUGAGGUAAUGGCUCACCAAGACGACGACGGGUAGCCGGCCUGAGAGGGCGACCGGCCACACUGGGACUGAGACACGGCCCAGACUCCUACGGGAGGCAGCAGUGGGGAAUAUUGCACAAUGGGGGAAACCCUGAUGCAGCGACGCAGCGUGCGGGAUGACGGCCUUCGGGUUGUAAACCGCUUUCAGCAGGGAAGAAGCGCAAGUGACGGUACCUGCAGAAGAAGUACCGGCUAACUACGUGCCAGCAGCCGCGGUAAUACGUAGGGUACGAGCGUUGUCCGGAAUUAUUGGGCGUAAAGAGCUCGUAGGUGGUUGGUCACGUCUGCUGUGGAAACGCAACGCUUAACGUUGCGCGUGCAGUGGGUACGGGCUGACUAGAGUGCAGUAGGGGAGUCUGGAAUUCCUGGUGUAGCGGUGAAAUGCGCAGAUAUCAGGAGGAACACCGGUGGCGAAGGCGGGACUCUGGGCUGUAACUGACACUGAGGA
Molecule: ribosomal RNA, 687 nt
Filed under: bacterium SCSIO13107
Lineage: Bacteria
Description: bacterial SSU rRNA
Rfam family: Bacterial small subunit ribosomal RNA
Source: RNAcentral